Molecule: ribosomal RNA, 397 nt
Filed under: uncultured bacterium
Lineage: Bacteria
Description: partial 16S ribosomal RNA
Rfam family: Bacterial small subunit ribosomal RNA
Source: RNAcentral
AUACGUAGGGGGCGAGCGUUGUCCGGAAUGAUUGGGCGUAAAGGGCGCGUAGGCGGCCCGGUAAGUCUGGAGUGAAAGUCCUGUUUUUAAGAUGGGAAUUGCUUUGGAUACUGUCGGGCUUGAGUGCAGGAGAGGUAAGUGGAAUUCCCAGUGUAGCGGUGAAAUGCGUAGAGAUUGGGAGGAACACCAGUGGCGAAGGCGACUUACUGGACUGUAACUGACGCUGAGGCGCGAAAGUGUGGGGAGCAAACAGGAUUAGAUACCCUGGUAGUCCACACUGUAAACGAUGAAUGCUAGGUGUAGGGGGUAUCGACCCCUUCUGUGCCGCAGUCAACACAAUAAGCAUUCCGCCUGGGGAGUACGACCGCAAGGUUGAAACUCAAAUGAAUUGACGGGG